UGCCAGCCGCCGCGGUAAUACGGAGGGUGCAAGCGUUGUUCGGAAUUAUUGGGCGUAAAGAGCACGUAGGCGGGUAUUCCAGUCAGGCGUGAAAGCCCCGGGCUCAACCCGGGAACUGCGCUUGAUACUGAAUACCUAGAGUCCGAGAGAGGGUGGUGGAAUUCCCAGUGUAGAGGUGAAAUUCGUAGAUAUUGGGAAGAACACCAGUGGCGAAGGCGGCCACCUGGCUCGGUACUGACGCUGAGGUGCGAAAGCGUGGGGAGCGAACAGGAUUAGAUA
This 279-nucleotide ribosomal RNA is filed under the name uncultured bacterium. Its description in RNAcentral is "partial 16S ribosomal RNA". It matches the Rfam family "Bacterial small subunit ribosomal RNA", at positions 506 to 784 of the family's 1533-position model. The record is from RNAcentral.